CGGGGUGAGUAACACGUGAGCAACCUGGCUCUAAGAGGGGGACAACAGUUGGAAACGACUGCUAAUACCGCAUAACGUAUCGGGAUGGCAUCUUUCUGAUACCAAAGAUUUUAUCGCUUAGAGAUGGGCUCGCGUCUGAUUAGAUAGUUGGCGGGGUAACGGCCCACCACGUCGACGAUCAGUAGCCGGACUGAGAGGUUGAACGGCCACAUUGGGACUGAGACACGGCCCAG
This 233-nucleotide ribosomal RNA is filed under the name uncultured bacterium. RNAcentral describes it as "partial 16S ribosomal RNA". It matches the Rfam family "Bacterial small subunit ribosomal RNA", at positions 104 to 334 of the family's 1533-position model. The record is from RNAcentral.